RNAcentral lists this ribosomal RNA (381 nucleotides) under uncultured marine Chaetocerotaceae. Its description in RNAcentral is "SSU rRNA". It matches the Rfam family "Eukaryotic small subunit ribosomal RNA", at positions 587 to 972 of the family's 1831-position model. The record is from RNAcentral. Lineage: Eukaryota; Bacillariophyta; Thalassiosirophyceae; Chaetocerotales; Chaetocerotaceae.
AGCUCCAAUAGCGUAUAUUAAAGUUGCUGCAGUUAAAAAGCUCGUAGUUGCAUUUCCGAGGCAAGGGAUUAGUCCGACCUUUGGUGGGUAUUUAAUCCUCUUGCCUCGUCCUUGAGUGGUGCUUCUUGGUAUUAAGUUAUCGAGGAGAUAGCCGCUCAUCGUUUACUGUGAGAAAAUUAGAGUGUUCAAAGCAGGCUUAUGCCGUUGAAUAUAUUAGCAUGGAAUAAUAAGAUAGGACCUCGGUACUAUUUUGUUGGUUUGAGAACCAAGGUAAUGAUGAAUAGGGACAGUUGGGGGUAUUCGUAUUCAGUUGUCAGAGGUGAAAUUCUUAGAUUUACGGAAGACGAGCUACUGCGAAAGCAUUUACCAAGGAUGUUUGCA